UCCAGAAAGACACUGUGUGCAGACCCUGCCCAGAGGGAACCUACAGCGAUGUGGAUGACUACUUUUCCAGCUGCAAAAAUCAUACAAGUUGUGAUGAUUUGGGUCGACAUCUGAAAGUUUCUGGGACCAGCAAAUCAGAUGUUGUGUGUGGAAAUUUUAAAUCAUGUACUACAUCUUGUUCUUGGUUGUUACCUGCUAGUUUGUGGGCAGGGAUCGUGAUUACUGGCCUGAUUGUAUUUCUAAUCCUGUUUACAAUUUAUUGGAGAAACAAACGUCAGUCAAAAA
Long non-coding RNA from Sinocyclocheilus grahami, 285 nucleotides. RefSeq lists it as uncharacterized. NCBI's taxonomy places the organism in Eukaryota, Metazoa, Chordata, Actinopteri, Cypriniformes, Cyprinidae. The transcript has 3 exons. The record is from RefSeq and is a predicted model, not a curated record.